UACAGAGGGGGCGAGCGUUGUUCGGAAUUACUGGGCGUAAAGGGUGCGUAGGUGGCGCGCUAAGUCAGGUGUGAAAUUUCGGAGCUUAACUCCGAAACUGCAUUUGAUACUGGCGUGCUUGAGGACUGGAGAGGAGACUGGAAUUCAUGGUGUAGCAGUGAAAUGCGUAGAUAUCUGCAGGAACACCCGUGGCGAAAGCGGCGCGCUGGACCACUACUGACGCUGAGGAACGAAAGCUAGGGGAGCAAACAGG
Molecule: ribosomal RNA, 253 nt
Filed under: uncultured bacterium
Lineage: Bacteria
Description: partial 16S ribosomal RNA
Rfam family: Bacterial small subunit ribosomal RNA
Source: RNAcentral